AUAAAAGCUGUAAUCAAGGGCAAGAAUUCUUAACGAGAUCCGACCAGAGAGAGAGAGGUCAUCGGCUGAAAGCCUCUUCGGUAAUCCUAAGGAUUUACCACCUUGUAGCUGCGAUAUGGAAAUCAGGGUUAACAUCCUUGAGAGUAAACUUCGCCGGGUAUUCCCGUUAUAGAAACGAAUGAGGACUCGCUUCUUUGCGAGUCAAAUUAGGGUGGAACCACGAGCGCACUCGUCCCUUUC
This 240-nucleotide non-coding RNA is filed under the name Paenibacillus naphthalenovorans. RNAcentral describes it as "T-box sequence". It matches the Rfam family "T-box leader". From Rfam's summary of the family: Uncharged tRNA acts as the effector for transcription antitermination of genes in the T-box leader family. T-boxes are found upstream of many aminoacyl-tRNA synthetase genes and some amino acid biosynthetic genes usually in Gram-positive bacteria. The anticodon of a specific tRNA base pairs to a specifier sequence within the T-box motif, and the NCCA acceptor tail of the tRNA base pairs to a conserved bulge in the T-box antiterminator hairpin. Lineage: Bacteria; Bacillati; Bacillota; Bacilli; Caryophanales; Paenibacillaceae. The record is from RNAcentral.